Molecule: transfer RNA, 73 nt
Filed under: Stegodyphus mimosarum
Lineage: Eukaryota; Metazoa; Arthropoda; Arachnida; Araneae; Eresidae
Rfam family: tRNA
About the family: Transfer RNA (tRNA) molecules are approximately 80 nucleotides in length.
Source: Rfam by way of RNAcentral
GCCUUCUUGGUGUAGUGGUCAGCACGCUGGGCGCGUAUUCCAGAGGUCCGUGGUUCGAGUCCCGGCGAAGGCG